Molecule: ribosomal RNA, 254 nt
Filed under: uncultured bacterium
Lineage: Bacteria
Description: partial 16S ribosomal RNA
Rfam family: Bacterial small subunit ribosomal RNA
Source: RNAcentral
GACGUAGGGCGCGAGCGUUGUCCGGAUUUAUUGGGCGUAAAGAGCUCGUAGGCGGCUUGUCGCGUCGAAUGUGAAAACCUGCAGCUCAACUGCGGGCUUGCAUUCGAUACGGGCAGGCUCGAGUUCGGUAGGGGAGACUGGAAUUCCUGGUGUAGCGGUGAAAUGACGCAGAUAUCAGGAGGAACACCGGUGGCGAAGGCGGGUCUCUGGGCCGAUACUGACGCUGAGGAGCGAAAGCGUGGGGAGCGAACAGG